This 253-nucleotide ribosomal RNA is filed under the name uncultured bacterium. RNAcentral describes it as "partial 16S ribosomal RNA". It matches the Rfam family "Bacterial small subunit ribosomal RNA", at positions 524 to 776 of the family's 1533-position model. The record is from RNAcentral.
UACGAAGGGGGCAAGCGUUGUUCGGAAUUACUGGGCGUAAAGGGCGCGUAGGCGGUGCUCUAAGUCAGGCGUGAAAGCCCUGUGCUCAACCCGGGAAUUGCGCUUGAUACUGGAGCGCUUGAAUCCAGGAGAGGUUGGUGGAAUUCCCAGUGUAGAGGUGAAAUUCGUAGAGAUUGGGAAGAACACCGGUGGCGAAGGCGGCCAACUGGACUGGUAUUGACGCUGAGGCGCGAAAGCGUGGGGAGCAAACAGG